UGAUGACUGGGGUGAAGUCGUAACAAGGUAUCCGUACCGGAAGGUGCGGAUGGAUCACCUCCUAACAGGGAGACAACACAAUGAUUUUGAUGCCUGAGUGCUUUUAUUCUUAGGCCGAAAUCCUGUCACCUUAGGUCGAUCGGUACCUCAGCUUUGAAGUCAAGAAUCAGCAGCAAUGUUGAUUGCUUGAUGGAGAUUUUCAGUUCCUAAACUUUGUCUAGGUCACACCCCAAAAGGGAUGAGACUCCUGGGCCAUUAGCUCAGGUGGUUAGAGCGCACCCCUGAUAAGGGUGAGGUCCCUGGUUCAAGUCCAGGAUGGCCCAUUCGGUGUUGGGGGUUUAGCUCAGUUGGUAGAGCGCCUGCUUUGCAAGCAGGAUGUCAGGAGUUCGAGUCUCCUAACCUCCACUGACCGAACUUGAUUCCCAUCUCCAAUUCUUUUGGAGUUGAGCUCGAUUGGAGUGUGAUUUAGAUGUGUCCGCUGGACGACCCCAGCCUCCUGUCAUUCCAAGUUUUAGGUUAAAUCCUUGAAUUUGGUUGAUAAGAUGCUGGGCUCGGAUCAAAUUAUCAAGCAAUUGAUGAUUUGAUUUGAAGUUCUAGCAGAACCUUGACAACUGCAUAGGUGAGUCUGGAAAAAACAAAGCAUCUUACAGAUGCAUUGUUUUGAAUCUGAUCUUC
RNAcentral lists this unclassified non-coding RNA (675 nucleotides) under Synechococcus sp. YX-A3-2. RNAcentral describes it as "partial contains 16S ribosomal RNA and 16S-23S ribosomal RNA intergenic spacer". The stretch from base 333 to 405 matches the Rfam family "tRNA". The record is from RNAcentral. Lineage: Bacteria; Bacillati; Cyanobacteriota; Cyanophyceae; Synechococcales; Synechococcaceae.